This 251-nucleotide ribosomal RNA is filed under the name uncultured bacterium. Its description in RNAcentral is "partial 16S ribosomal RNA". It matches the Rfam family "Bacterial small subunit ribosomal RNA", at positions 524 to 775 of the family's 1533-position model. The record is from RNAcentral.
UACGUAGGUGGCGAGCGUUAUCCGGAAUUAUUGGGCGUAAAGAGGGAGCAGGCUGCUGAACAGGUCUGUGGUGAAAGCCCGAAGCUAAACUUCGGUAAGCCAUGGAAACCGGACAGCUAGAGUGCGUCAGAGGAACGUGGAAUUCCAUGUGUAGCGGUGAAAUGCGUAGAUAUAUGGAGGAACACCAGUGGCGAAGGCGACGUUCUGGGGCGCAACUGACGCUCAUUCCCGAAAGCGUGGGGAGCAAAUAG